GGGAAGUAUUGCCCCCAAAUGCAGACCUUACCAGGGCAGCCGCUGCCGCUGCUUCUGCUCCUCAUGGGAUUGAAGUAGCAGUAGAGUUUAAGCCAGUUGAGCACCCAAUUGAGCCUCUCGACAGCGAUCAACCAAUUCUUUGCCCACAACCUGAACCUUCAAUUCUUAACGAUGGAAGACUAUGGAAAGAGAGAGUAUCGGCAACUGUGAGGAGGAGGGCUGACUUGCCUGUUAUGAAAGAAGAUGGGGCGCUUGAAUCUGAAACUGCAGGGACAAAGACGCGGCCAAUUCAGUCCAAUAGAUUGAUUCUACCAUCCAUCAGUGCUCCUGAACAUAACUUGCUUAAACUACUUGAAGAAUGUAGUGCAUCUGGGAUCUAA
Molecule: unclassified non-coding RNA, 380 nt
Filed under: Hevea brasiliensis (rubber tree)
Lineage: Eukaryota; Viridiplantae; Streptophyta; Magnoliopsida; Malpighiales; Euphorbiaceae
Source: RNAcentral